UACGAAGGGGGCAAGCGUUGUCCGGAUUUAUUGGGCGUAAAGAGCGUGUAGGCGGCCUGACAGGUCAGGUGUGAAAACUCGAGGCUCAACCUCGAGACGUCGGUUGAAACCGUAAGGCUAGAGUCCGGAAGAGGAGAGUGGAAUUCCCGGUGUAGCGGUGAAAUGCGCAGAUAUCAGGAGGAACACCGGUGGCGAAGGCGGGUCUCUGGGCCGAUACUGACGCUGAGGAGCGAAAGCGUGGGGAGCGAACAGG
This 253-nucleotide ribosomal RNA is filed under the name uncultured bacterium. Its description in RNAcentral is "partial 16S ribosomal RNA". It matches the Rfam family "Bacterial small subunit ribosomal RNA", at positions 524 to 776 of the family's 1533-position model. The record is from RNAcentral.